GGACUCGAUUUCUUGGUCCGAAUGUGGUUCCUAGUCCAGGCUUCUCUACAGCCACGUUCAGAAAAUGCGAGCUUGGUUCUCCAUGUGCAUACUAUAAUCAGGACUAGGACAUCUGAGCUCUGAUGGUCAAUAAUCUGCAUCAUCUGGACAAUGGAGGGCAUAGGUAUAUGAGCUAUGAAUUAUUUGAGUUCCAUAUGAGUUCGAUAAUGCUCAAAGUCCUUUGUGGGAAAGCGAAAGUAUUGCAGGAAUACAAACACUCAAAUGCAAUGAGAUAAUGCAUGAUAUGUAUUACAACACUUGAAGGUACAUGGUUUCACAAAUUGCAGCAGGAAUUUCAAUGUUGAAUGUUGCACGUGGUAUCUUGAAACUAUUGCAGACUUGGAGUUGAUCAGAGUCAUGCGACUUGAAGCAAUGAAUAUACUCCCAAUGUUAACUUCUAUGCUAUUUGCAUUGGAUCCAUGGGUAAUCUACGAAAUUGUGGCGUCCCCAUCUUCUAUCCACCAGGAUUGCUAGAUGCUCCAUGAGAUUGUUCUUCAUUAUGUGUACUUAUUGUUGAAUCUUCGAUGGUCUGUCAUUUGGAACUGGCUUCUAGUGAAAACGGUGGGUGUGUCGUGUGGUCUCUGGCAUUUAUUUAAGUAUUUUUUAGCAUUGUAAA
Molecule: non-coding RNA, 655 nt
Organism: Amborella trichopoda
Lineage: Eukaryota; Viridiplantae; Streptophyta; Magnoliopsida; Amborellales; Amborellaceae
Source: RefSeq, a predicted model, not a curated record